This 68-nucleotide transfer RNA is filed under the name Synallactes sp. Y30071. Its description in RNAcentral is "tRNA-Tyr". It matches the Rfam family "tRNA". Rfam says of the family: Transfer RNA (tRNA) molecules are approximately 80 nucleotides in length. Their secondary structure includes four short double-helical elements and three loops (D, anti-codon, and T loops). Lineage: Eukaryota; Metazoa; Echinodermata; Holothuroidea; Aspidochirotida; Synallactidae. The record is from RNAcentral.
GGCAAGAUGACUGAAAUAGUAAAGGAUUGUAAACCCUCAAACGUAGGAUAAUAGCCUACUCUUCGCCA